This 520-nucleotide unclassified non-coding RNA is filed under the name uncultured Entrophospora. Its description in RNAcentral is "SSU rRNA". It matches the Rfam family "Eukaryotic small subunit ribosomal RNA", at positions 569 to 1083 of the family's 1831-position model. The record is from RNAcentral. Lineage: Eukaryota; Fungi; Glomeromycota; Glomeromycetes; Entrophosporales; Entrophosporaceae.
AGCAGCCGCGGUAAUUCCAGCUCCAAUAGCGUAUAUUAAAGUUGUUGCAGUUAAAAAGCUCGUAGUUGAAUUUCGGGAUUGGCGCAUCGGUCGUGCCUCACGGGGUAUGAACUGGUGCAGUCAAUUUCUCACCUUCUGGAGAACCGCGAUGUCCUUAAUUGGAUGCCGCGGGGAACCAGGACCUUUACUUUGAAAAAUUAGAGUGUUUAAAGCAGGCAUUUUUGCUUGAAUACAUUAGCAUGGAAUAAUAAAAUAGGACGGCAUGGUUCUAUUUUGUUGGUUUCUAGGACCACCGUAAUGAUUAAUAGGGAUAGUUGGGGGCAUUAGUAUUCAAUUGUCAGAGGUGAAAUUCUUGGAUUUAUUGAAGACUAACUACUGCGAAAGCAUUUGCCAAGGAUGUUUUCAUUAAUCAAGAACGAAAGUUAGGGGAUCGAAGACGAUCAGAUACCGUCGUAGUCUUAACCAUAAACUAUGCCGACUAGGAAUCAGACGAUGUUAAUUUUUUAAUUGACUCGUUUGG